AAAUGGUUUAGCCAUCUCCAACCAAAGAAAUGCAAUCUUCCCUCGGUAGAUAUGGUUCACCGAUUUAGCUCUUUCAUUGUGCGCAGCACGC
RNAcentral lists this non-coding RNA (91 nucleotides) under Durinskia baltica. Lineage: Eukaryota; Dinophyceae; Peridiniales; Kryptoperidiniaceae. The record is from RNAcentral.